RNAcentral lists this ribosomal RNA (254 nucleotides) under uncultured bacterium. RNAcentral describes it as "partial 16S ribosomal RNA". It matches the Rfam family "Bacterial small subunit ribosomal RNA", at positions 524 to 776 of the family's 1533-position model. The record is from RNAcentral.
UACGGAGGGUGCGAGCGUUGUCCGGAAUCACUAGGCGUAAAGGGCGCGUAGGUGGCCUGUGGAAGUCUGCGGUGAAAGCCCGGCGCUCAACGCCGGGUCGGCCGUGGAUACUCUCGGGCUUGAGCUUACUAGAGGCAGGUGGAAUUCCGGGUGUAGCGGUGGAAUGCGUAGAGAUCCGGAAGAACACCGGUGGCGAAGGCGGUCUGCUGGGGUAAUGCUGACACUGAUGCGCGACAGCGUGGGGAGCAAACAGG